This 496-nucleotide ribosomal RNA is filed under the name uncultured bacterium. RNAcentral's name for it is "partial 16S ribosomal RNA". It matches the Rfam family "Bacterial small subunit ribosomal RNA", at positions 29 to 507 of the family's 1533-position model. The record is from RNAcentral.
AUGAACGCUGGCGGCGUGCCUCAUCCCUGCCAGUCGAGCGAACGGACGAGAAGCUUGCUUUUCUGAUGUUAGCGGCGGACGGGUGAGUAACACGUGGAUAACCUACCUAUAAGACUGGGAUAACUUCGGGAAACCGGAGCUAAUACCGGAUAAUAUUUUGAACCGCAUGGUUCAAAAGUGAAAGACGGUCUUGCUGUCACUUAUAGAUGGAUCCGCGCUGCAUUAGCUAGUUGGUAAGGUAACGGCUUACCAAGGCAACGAUGCAUGGCCGACCUGAGAGGGUGAUCGGCCACACUGGAACUGAGACACGGUCCAGACUCCUACGGGAGGCAGCAGUAGGGAAUCUUCCGCAAUGGGCGAAAGCCUGACGGAGCAACGCCGCGUGAGUGAUGAAGGUCUUCGGAUCGUAAAACUCUGUUAUUAGGGAAGAACAUAUGUGUAAGUAACUGUGCACAUCUUGACGGUACCUAAUCAGAAAGCCACGGCUAACUACGUG